This 83-nucleotide microRNA precursor is filed under the name Procavia capensis (Cape rock hyrax). RNAcentral's name for it is "miRNA (ENSPCAG00000020346.1)". Lineage: Eukaryota; Metazoa; Chordata; Mammalia; Hyracoidea; Procaviidae. The record is from RNAcentral.
AUGAUGGCCAGCCAUCCUGGGUUGCCUGGGACUGAGGAUGUUCCUGGGAUGCAGGCUGUUCCAGUUAUAAACCUGGGACAAUC